UUUAAUCUAUAGAGUGUUAUUCUACACUGGACCUCUCUCUUAUUUUUUGGAGUCUAGCAUCUUGCAUCUUCCUGGAGCCCCAACUAAACUCAUAACUUCUAAGCUUCUAAGAAAUAUAUGACGAGCUCCAUGAGGGCCAAGGCUGUCCAUUCCUGUUUACCACUGCACACUCAGGAGCUCAUGGCAUGCUGGCUGUGCUAGUUCUAUCCUCAACAGAAUAAUUGCUGACAAACUCUCUUGCCCAGAAAAUGUCUACUGGAAUUAUGGAGUACAAAAAAACUACAAAAGCAAUGAAAAAAAGAAGGAUGUUUUAUUUACAUCCUAUUUCAAAACCAUUGCUUUCUUGCUAUUGUAUGUCUCUGCAGGCCCAAUAUCGCGCAUCUUCAUAAGAAGUUUAGAAUUGUUCCUUAUGUUUCCUUCUAACAAACACUGGUGUUAAGUUUCAAGAAGUUGGUGAAAUGGAGACAGCCAAUCCAACCCAGGAGACAGUGUUUGAAAACAGGGCUUCAGCUACUUGCAUGAUGUGGAUUGGGGAAAUGGUCUGUCCUCCUAGCCAUGGGAUGUCCCUGCUGUGUUCAGGAAUCUUUCCAUCUCUUGGAUUUUAAAGGUUAAUUUUUCCUUCCCUAUAAAGAUAGGGCCUUUAUAGAGGUAAUCGCCUUAAAAUGAGGCUAUUAGAGUGGCCUUAAUCCAAUAUCACUAGAGUUCUUAGAAGAAGGGGACAUUUGGACACAGAGACAUGGGGAGAACGCCAUAUGAAGACGAAGGCAGAGAUUCAUCUACAAACCAAGGAACUACAAAGACUGCCAGCAGCCCCCAGAAGCCAGGCGGCAGACAUGGAACAGAUUCUCCCUCACAGCUGUCAGGAGGAGCCAACCCUGCCUCCAGAAUUGUGAAGCACUAAGUUUCUGUUGUUUAGGCCUUCCAGUCUCUGCUACUUUAUUGCAACAACUCUAGCAAAUUAAUGCACAAAUGGCAGAAUGGUAUUUUUCAACUUUUAUGAGAAAAGUAAAGGCAGUUAUAGUAGAAGAGAGCAUCAUGAGUCGACUGUGCCUGAGUACAGCCCUCAGAUAGGGCUGUUUGCUUUUCCCCAACUAUGCUUCAUACUUUUUUCUUUUCAUAUGUUUUUUUUGAGUCGGGGUCUUGCUCUGCUGCCCAGGUUGGAGUGCAGUGUCAUGAUCAUAGCUCACUGUAACCUCGACCUUCUGAGCUUGAGUGAUCCUCCUGUCUCAGCCUCCCAAGUAGCUGAGACUACAGGUGCAUGCCAACACACCUGGCUAUUUAUUUGUUUUUAUUUUAUUGUAGAGACAGGGUCUCACUGUGUUGCCCAGGCUGGCCUCAAACUCCUGGCCUUAAGUCAUCCUCCCGUCUUGGCCUCCCAAAGUGCUGGGACUAUGAGCGUGAACCCAUCGCACCCAGACAUUUUAUGCUUUUUUAAUUUGGAGUGUCUUUCCUUUCCAUGCACGCCUGUAGAAUUUAUGAUUAUCAUUAAGCCCAAAGAAGACUUUCACAUAAAUUCUGCCGUAACCCUUGUUGGAAUAAAUAUAUUCCUCUAAGCUCCCUCUAGCUCUAUUUGUAUCUUUAUUAUAAAUAUUAAUAUAUCUUUCCUUGCAUUGCUGUUACAUGUAUGCACAUCUUAUCUUCUGCCAAUAAAUAAGCCUCGUCCCUUGGGGGAAGGGCUAACCUUUCCUCCUUCUGGUAUUGCUCAGGAUGCUGACCACAGCACCCUGCACAGAGAAGAGGUUUAAUAUUUAUUUGAUUACUUAAAUUGCAUAAGAGGGAUCUACCUACUUGUGAAAAAGGUUGCUGUGACCUGUGUUCCUUCUUCUGUGACAAGAAACUAAAAUGUACAUAUAUUUAUUCUCUUCUUAAUGUUCUUUCGAGUUUUAUCUCCUUCCUGGAUCUGGUUCACCAGAUUUCCUCCCCUCCUUUUUUUUCAUCAAUACAAAACUUCAAGUCGCAGUCUUGCCAAUAAUUCUUCUUUGACUAAUUUAUGAGUUAAAUAAAGAAAAAAUUCCUCACACACAUAUCAUGUCCAAGGUCAGCUCAACAUUGCUUUAUUCCACACCUCUCAAUGGGUGCAUGAUGCGGGCCCACUUUAACACUGUAUCAGUGGUUGAUUCCUACGUGCAGAUCUUUCUGCUCUUUUUGCCUGAAUUAUCUUCAAUGUUCUUUGUGCAAAAAUCACAGCCAGUAUAGUCUAUUUCCAAAAGAGCUGUAAAGAGGCAUUUCAGAAACUUCCCUAAACAAUAUUUCUUUAAAAUGCACCAAGCUGGAUAAAGCCGCUUUGUGACCUGCAUAAAAACUCCAACGGAUAAAUGUGUAUUACCUUCCCAAAGAACUACUUCUCCAAAGUUAUUCCAGCUCUUUCCAGUUGAAAUGUCAAACUUGACAUAAAAAUGAGAUGUUCUUGCAUCAAUUAAUAAACAAAUAAAUCUGUGUUUCCCAUUG
RNAcentral lists this non-coding RNA (2448 nucleotides) under Pan troglodytes (chimpanzee). The record is from RNAcentral. Lineage: Eukaryota; Metazoa; Chordata; Mammalia; Primates; Hominidae.